Molecule: ribosomal RNA, 264 nt
Filed under: uncultured bacterium
Lineage: Bacteria
Description: partial 16S ribosomal RNA
Rfam family: Bacterial small subunit ribosomal RNA
Source: RNAcentral
GUCCACGCCGUAAACGAUGAGUGCUAGGUGCUGCGGGUAUUGACCCCUGCGGUGCCGUAGCUAACGCGUUAAGCACUCCGCCUGGGGAGUACGGCCGCAAGGCUAAAACUCAAAGGAAUUGACGGGGCCCGCACAAGCGGUGGAGCAUGUGGUUCAAUUCGACGCAACGCGCAGAACCUUACCUGGGUUAAAUCCACUCGAAGCUGGUAGAGAUACCGGGGUGCCCUUCGGGGAGCGAGUGAGAAGGUGCUGCAUGGCUGUCGU